GUCUCGAUGGUGUAGUUGGUUAUCACGUUCGCCUAACACGCGAAAGGUCCUCGGUUCGAACCCGGGUUGAGACA
RNAcentral lists this transfer RNA (74 nucleotides) under Micromonas pusilla CCMP1545. It matches the Rfam family "tRNA". From Rfam's summary of the family: Transfer RNA (tRNA) molecules are approximately 80 nucleotides in length. Their secondary structure includes four short double-helical elements and three loops (D, anti-codon, and T loops). The record is from Rfam by way of RNAcentral. Lineage: Eukaryota; Viridiplantae; Chlorophyta; Mamiellophyceae; Mamiellales; Mamiellaceae.